Molecule: ribosomal RNA, 253 nt
Filed under: uncultured prokaryote
Description: partial 16S ribosomal RNA
Rfam family: Bacterial small subunit ribosomal RNA
Source: RNAcentral
ACGAGUGCCUCAAGCGUUAUCCGGAAUUAUUGGGCGUAAAGGGUGUGUAGGCGGCGAUGUUAGUCUCUCGUUAAAUUCUUCGGCUUAACCGGGGACCUGCGAGGGAAACGGCAUUGCUCGAGAGUGUAAGGGGUCUGCGGAACUCAUAGUGUAGCGGUGAAAUGCGUUGAUAUUAUGGGGAACACCAAAAGCGAAGGCAGCAGACUGGGACACUUCUGACGCUGAAACACGAAAGCGUGGGUCGCGAAUGGGA